CCUACGGGGGGCUGCAGUGGGGAAUAUUGCACAAUGGGCGCAAGCCUGAUGCAGCCAUGCCGCGUGUGUGAAGAAGGCCUUCGGGUUGUAAAGCACUUUCAGCGGGGAGGAAGGCGUUAAGGUUAAUAACCUUGGCGAUUGACGUUACCCGCAGAAGAAGCACCGGCUAACUCCGUGCCAGCAGCCGCGGUAAUACGGAGGGUGCAAGCGUUAAUCGGAAUUACUGGGCGUAAAGCGCACGCAGGCGGUCUGUCAAGUCGGAUGUGAAAUCCCCGGGCUCAACCUGGGAACUGCAUUCGAGACUGGCAGGCUAGAGUCUUGUAGAGGGGGGUAGAAUUCCAGGUGUAGCGGUGAAAUGCGUAGAGAUCUGGAGGAAUACCGGUGGCGAAGGCGGCCCCCUGGACAAAGACUGACGCUCAGGUGCGAAAGCGUGGGGAGCAAACAGGAUUAGAUACCCGAGUAGUC
Molecule: ribosomal RNA, 465 nt
Filed under: uncultured Klebsiella sp.
Lineage: Bacteria; Pseudomonadati; Pseudomonadota; Gammaproteobacteria; Enterobacterales; Enterobacteriaceae
Description: bacterial SSU rRNA
Rfam family: Bacterial small subunit ribosomal RNA
Source: RNAcentral